UACGUAGGGUGCAAGCGUUGUCCGGAUUUACUGGGCGUAAAGAGCGCGCAGGCGGUCGUUCAAGUCGCGUGUGAAAGCCCCCCGGCUCAACUGGGGAGGGUCACGCGAUACUGAUCGACUCGAAGGCAGGAGAGGGUAGUGGAAUUCCCGGUGUAGUGGUGAAAUGCGUAGAUAUCGGGAGGAACACCAGUGGCGAAGGCGACUACCUGGCCUGUUCUUGACGCUGAGGCGCGAAAGCUAGGGGAGCAAACGGG
RNAcentral lists this ribosomal RNA (254 nucleotides) under uncultured bacterium. Its description in RNAcentral is "partial 16S ribosomal RNA". It matches the Rfam family "Bacterial small subunit ribosomal RNA", at positions 524 to 776 of the family's 1533-position model. The record is from RNAcentral.